This is a long non-coding RNA of Cyprinus carpio (common carp), 934 nucleotides long. RefSeq lists it as uncharacterized. Lineage: Eukaryota; Metazoa; Chordata; Actinopteri; Cypriniformes; Cyprinidae. The record is from RefSeq and is a predicted model, not a curated record.
AAUUGAAACUUGGAAUGACAUUUGGCUUUCUUUGUCAAGAUUAAUUAAUUUUUAUUUAUAGUGUUGUUUUAACAUAUUUCUGUAUUUUCCAUGUUACUGAUAUUCUGGAUUGACUGAAGAUCAGCAUAGAAUUCUUGUGGAUGUACCUCAGCAAGUCCUUUUGCAGUAGUAUCCAUCAAAGUGCUAUGCAGACAUAAUGGGAACGACUGUCACAUUGCAGAGCUUGGACAACUUCACACAGGUUCUCAAGCGGAAUUCAUCAAGGACAUGACUGUUGGCGUUAUAGUAGUGGGUGACCAAAACGAGCACCAUCAAUCUGCAGUGAUGUGGUCCUGGUAAUAGAAGAAGAAGUCUUGGUUAUCUGUGGUUGUAACAUCCGUCUCAUGAAAUCAGAGACUUAGUGAAGGGCAUUGACAUGGGCAUCUUAAUUGUGACUGUGGAGAAGCAUUUGUAAGUGCUUCUAAAAUAAACCAUUGACAUUGCUAUCAUUUUGGAAGAGCAUCUUGUCCUCAUUAAUAUCUGUUAUGUCCUGAAAGCAUUUGUGCUCCUGAUGGGUCUUCUUUACAUCAUUAAAAUUGAUUACCCAAAACACAGUACAGUUUAGGGCUGUCAAAAAAAAAAUUCAAAUUUCGAAUAUUCGUCGAAUUUGAAAUAAAAAUCCACAUUCGAAUGCAAAAACGUUGCAUUCGAAUUUUAGGUGUGCGUUAAGGAGGCAGCCUUAUCAGUGGUGCACGAGAUGUGAUGACGAUGUAACAUUAACUCUUUCCCCGCCAUUGACGAGUUAUCUCAUCAUUUAGAAGACAAUGCUUCCCCGCCAAAGAUGAGUUUUUACAACUUUGUGUUUUCAUUGUUAUACCCUCGGGGGCACUAUUACACAUCUUCUGAACGAGUACAAAACCUCCCGAACAAAAAACACACGUGAACAGGACAGAAA